GCUGGUUUGAUGUCCCAUAUAGAGAGGUGGCACAGCCAGGGCUGGGUAUCCCAGUCCCGUGUCGUGUCCAGCAUUUUAGUGCAGACUCACAUGCACAUCAAAUGCACAACCAUGCAAUGACAGACAAGCAGCUCCACAGGAGGAGUGCACAACCAGAGGGGAGAGGAGAGAGCCUGGACAGCCUCUGUCCUCACCUCCUCAGUGGCCAUGUGGUGACGGCUGGGUUUUUUAUUUUUUUCUCCCUAGAUGAGCUUCACAUCUCAGGUCUUCUGCUCAACUCAGGUACCAGCUGACACCCACCCAGUCCCUGGUGUUGCCUUCAGGAGCAGUGGCAAGAUGGGAGCUGGUUGGGGAAGGGGAUCCUAGCGCAGGGGGGAGGAGGAGAGAAUGGAAUGGCUGGACUUUGAGAUGAGAAGACAGUUGGAUGGGGAGGAGGCACCAUUUGCUGGAACUGAAGGGUUCUCAGUAGGGGCUCGAGGCAGGAUGUAUCUGUGAUAUCUGGACCUCUGGAGUCCCUUAAGCACAAGGAGGCAAGUGUGUGGCAGUGAAGACAUUCUGCCUUGGGCCCAAGCCCAAGACAGGUCUCCCUGAGCCCUGGGCAGACCAUCCGACCUAUGGUCAUUGGAAGGACCCACCUCCUCCCUAUCCCAGGCCUGUGUAAACGCCAGGAAGGCAGGUCCCUUUCUCCAUGCAGGCCCUGACUGGGGCAGUCAGCACCAUUAAGUUCUUCCUCUCUGAGGCUUUCCUGGGUCAACACUUCGAGGCUGUGUAGUUGGAGGGCAGGGAGCCUGAGCCAGGAGACGUCUUCCUGUUCAGGCUGAUUCCCCCCACCUGACGCUGGUGCGGGGCCCACGUUGGCAUAUACUGUGGCCAUGGAGAGAUCAUCCACUUUGAGGGUGAGUGCCUCCAGCAGAAACACAGGCCCAAGUCUGCGGAGAGGCUGCCCAGCCAAGCCACGCCCCACCAGUGAGCUGGCUACUCGGGGAUAAAGACUGAAGUCCCAGGCUGGGGGCAAGAACUCAGGAGGCUGUGGGCUCCUGGGAAGUUUCUGGGCUCCUGGAAAGGCAUCGUAUCCAAACAGGGGCAGCGCCCGCUGCUGCGCUCCUGCUGGCGCGUGCUGCGCAGAGUGAGCGAAGCGACGGACGCGGACCCACCAUCCUAUCACUCCAUGCGCAGCAACUGUGUGCACUUUGCACUGUGUCUGCUCGUCCCAGGUCCCAGCCUGGACCCCCGGCAAAUAGACGGGAGCUCCAGCAGGUGUCAAUGGACGUGGACGUGUCCCCGGAUUAAGCAUGACCUUGGCCCUCCUGGGUGGACGUGGAGGCUUCAGAAAGAUUCAUUAAACUACUUUCCAAAGCUU
Molecule: long non-coding RNA, 1360 nt
Filed under: Homo sapiens (human)
Lineage: Eukaryota; Metazoa; Chordata; Mammalia; Primates; Hominidae
Description: non-protein coding lnc-AP3B2-1:2
Source: RNAcentral